Molecule: long non-coding RNA, 248 nt
Filed under: Brassica napus (rape)
Lineage: Eukaryota; Viridiplantae; Streptophyta; Magnoliopsida; Brassicales; Brassicaceae
Description: long non-coding RNA (BNAP_LNC017180)
Source: RNAcentral
GGGUUUAGAGUUAAAGGGUGGAGUUUAGGGUUUAGGGUUUAGAGUUUAGGGUUUAUGGUUUAGGGUUUAGGGUUUAAAGUUUAGGGUUUAGGGUUUAGAGUUUAGGGUUUAGGGUUUAGAGUUGAGAAAUGAGGUUUUGGGGAUAAGAUUUCAAAUUUUGAAAAAUAAAAAAAUUAAAAUUUUCAAAGGAUAAAUUUAGAAAAGUGCUAUUUUGGUCAUUUUAGUUUUUGAAUGCUAUUUUUGUGAUA